Molecule: non-coding RNA, 426 nt
Organism: Hydra vulgaris (swiftwater hydra)
Lineage: Eukaryota; Metazoa; Cnidaria; Hydrozoa; Anthoathecata; Hydridae
Source: RefSeq, a predicted model, not a curated record
AGAAAAAACCUGAAAAUUAAACAUUUAAUUUUAUUCGUUUAGAUUAGUUAAAUUCUGGUUUGAAGUUUUUAAGUUGAACAUUUUUGAAAGCUGAAACUGAAAAGCCUUGGAGUUAUUAGAAAAUUAAAUCAAGUGUUUUACAUAUAUCAUAUCAUUUAGUUUCCAUGACGACUUCAACUACUACUUCUCCAGGAACUCCUGCAAGUCAAUCAAGUCUAAGAAGCAGAAGACAUCCCAGUGGGCAUUUCAACGUCGAACAAACGUCGAGCGACGUCGGAUAUCGACGUCGAAUCGACGUUGGGUUUACGUUGGAAAUGGAAAUGUUUUUUUAACGUCGUAUAAACUGACAUCGUGCGACGUGCAUUCCGAUGUUGAUUCAACGUGUUUUUUGUAAACUAAAAACUAUUACCAAAGGCAGGAAUCGAA